UGAAUUUAAGUAGUUUAUUUGACAUUAAUUGCAGAAUUUACAGCACUACCAUUUAAUGAUAGGAAAAAUAGAAAUAAUCCAGUGUAAGCAAUGUUGUAGACAAAACAUCAGGGUGGGAAAUGAGCAAACUUGAAAAUGCAACUAACAUUCAAAGAAAUCUUCUGAAGGACUGAUAAGUUAUUCUCUAGAUAAUGAAGUGCGAUCCUCACCCUACGAGGACAUCAGGGCAGCCACUGAACAUAUGCCCUGAUGUCUGUCCUUAGAACAUCUUUCAUUAUCUGACUUCAUGUGUCUGAGAUGGGGCAGAAUCUGGGUUACAAUAUGCUUUGAAAUAUAGCUCAGGGUGAAAAGAAAAUAAUAUGGAUCAGUGUUUGAGGUUUUUUUUUCAAAACAGAAGGGAGUACAAAUUUUAGGGGUGUGUUUUCCUGCUUUUAAGCAUGAGAAGUGAUGUCAAAGGGAUUGACUAAAGUUAACAGUUUUUAAGUUUUUCACUAUGAUUUUCUUGGAGAUCAUAUCGAUAAAAGCAAAGAAAAAGAACAGGAGGUAUGCACAUGACUCUGAUCUCUUGUCCUUGUCGAGUCUUGUCAGAGACCUAUGAGAAGUAGCUGGGUUUCUACUAAAGUGCUGAGUUUCUGGAAGAGCCACUGAGCAAGCAGGUGGCAGAAGAAUAUGGUCUUUGACAUGAGGACCCAUACUUUAUACAGCCAUUUCCUCAUGGGUCUUUUUUCCUUUUUAAACUUUAAACAGAGCUGGGGCAAAUUCUUCUCUCUUUACCUCCUUUCUCUCAUUGUAGUCAUACCAUAAUGCAAUCAACAGACUAGAAGAAAGGAUUCAAGCCCCACAGGCCAGCAUGUGAAAUUAAAUGACAUUUUUAAUACCAAAAAUGAACACAUCUGAGGCCAACACCUAAUGUGAGAAAACAGCCAGGAGUGACUUAGAUCCUGAAAAAACUGGAUAAAAGAAAAGAUAUUAGACUUGUUUUCAUUCACUUUUGUAGGAGGAUAAUUUCUUUUCUGAGAAAUCACUGACCAAGAAAGAAUCCAUAGAAAUUAUACUAGUAAAGUAUUAAUUUAGAUAGAAAUAUUCAAAUAGGAAAGAUUAAAAAUUAGCUAGGCCGAGGCAUUCUCCAUAGUCCAGGGAAACACCUUCUUUGAGAAAAGCAAAGGACAAGGAAGAGAACUAAUUAGAAUGUUGGUCAACUCCUAAUGAUCCCUUGCCCAUGAAAUUCUUUGGCAUCCUAGAUUUGUGGAGAAAACACUGAAAUGUUCUGGGAUUGAGGGGGAAAAUAAGAUUUGGUGAUUGGGGACAGGGAUUAAAAAAGUAGCCAGUGCCAAAAUUAUAUCUGUACUGUAAGUCUCUGAUUUACAAAUGAGUUCCAUUCUGGGAAAAGGUUCAUAAGUCAGAUUUGUUGGUAUCUGAAAAAAUGAGUCUUGUACAGUACACCUGUGAAAGUUCCCAACUCAAAUGUUCAUAAGUUAGGGAUUUACUGUAUUAGGCCCUUUCUUCAAACUUCAACAGUUCUUUAUCAAUUUCUCACAUGUAAAGCUUGUACUCUUGUUUCAGAAAUCCCAAUAUGCAAGGUGUUUUAUAACUUCUCAUGAUGAGAACUUGUGUUUUACUAGAGUAAAACACAACCUAGUGAAGAAAGGAAAUCAUAUUUUACCUUGAAGAAAGUAUCUACCAAUGAUGUAACUACCUAUGCAGCGGCUAGUGUGUCUCUGGAUACUUCCAUCUUUCUUCCCAAGUAGCAGGGUCCCUGACACGAUCUGAAAAUAACCUUGCCUGGAUAGUAAGCUGACUCUUGAGCUAAAUGCCAAUUGAGCCAAAGCAAGGAUUAUUGGAGGAAAGAACCCAAGUUCUACAACUCUUUGAGUGGGUAUUACAAGCAGAGAUAAUGUAAGCAUUGAUGGGCUGUGCUCUGGUUUGGUUCUAUAGUUAGGGUUUAGCCUAACUCUCUAAGAGACAGCAACAGCAUGGCAAUGUGCAUACCCACCCUGAGAUGGGAGCAAGGCCUAGAGAGAUAGCAGGGUCUCCUUUUCCUUCCUGAAGAUUUCCAGAUCAAAAUGGGAAACUGAAAUGUAGUUUAGAAAUAAAACAUUAGAAAAUCCUAUUCUGUACCAUUUUUUUGCCUUUCAAAAAAUCAUCAACAGUUGUGGAUGGGAUAGCUAAAUGUUAUGCAGGAGAUGCGUGGGAAGGGGGGUUUUGCUUUGGAAGAUCCCCACUGCGUUGAAUAAACCUGGGCCUAAAGAAAGUCUUUCAGUGGUGGCCCAGGAAGAACAGGGGGGCCACCUCAGCUUUGGUGGGGAGAGUGCCCAGUAGGUCACAGAAGAUGUAAGGCUGCCAUUUUCUUUCUUCCUUUAUAUGAAUUGGGGUCUGUCUUCAUGCUGGCAUGUGCUCAAGGCUGAGGGAUCUCAGAGAGAUGUUGGGAUGCAAAGAGAGUGAGGUUAGAGAGUUUGGGCCCAGCUCUCUUUAAAGCUGACAGAUAUGGAGAUCUCUUUUUAGUCUCUCAAACCUACCUUCUAGCCCUCGACCUUCUUUAGGCCAGGUGAGACCUGGGCCAGGUGAGAAAACCAGGCUACAGUGAGAUAAUUCCAUAGUUCUGCAUCUCCAAGGAAAAGGACAUCCAUUGGCACAAAGCAUUGAGUAAAAACCCUUUAAUAACAAAAUAACAUUCACAAUGUAGCUACUUCAGCUGUCUGGAAAACUCAGCUUACACUUGAUUCAACAUACCACUUUUCACAAAGUUAAAAAAAAAAAAAAGGACAAUAAAAUGGCAAACAAAAUAUACCUCAAAUUUCAUAAGACAAGUCUUGGCAAAUCCUAGUGAGCCAGACCCUUGCAUUGCCUGUAAUAAAAAGGGCUGGACAUGUUCAUGUCUCAGACACUCCUCUGUUUGCUCUGGUUGGAAAAUACAUUUGAACUUUGUAGAUACUACAAUAUCUGCAUCAAGAGGAACAGUUUGUAGGUUUGUGAGUAUCAGGAGAAUUUACUGAAACAAAUAUUGAUUUGAUUUAUUGUAGAAGAACAUAUAAAGCUUUCUGAAUGAUUAAACACUAUUACAAUCACUCACUGUCUUACAAAAGCUGAUUUUAAAGUUCUUGUAUCCAUUCCCAUCUUUGGCAGAUUAACAAAAGGAAAAAUGGAAAGACUAUAUUACAAAGCUUUCAGUAUCACAAUUUACUUUUAUAAGGCCAAAUGAAAAUGUUUCUUUGUAUUACUAAAGAAAGUACAUUCCCAACAUAUUCUCAUUGACAGAUAACGUGAAUGCUCUACUGUCUGUCGGUGAUUUCCAGUAUUUUGCAUGGCAGAUUUCUGUUUCCAUCAUUGUUUCCUAGAUUUUUCUAUUGUGUCCAAUAGAAAAUGAAGUCUGCUUGGCAGCUGAUUUGGCUUUACAUAGGCAUAUUGAUUGAAGAAAUAACCAUGAACCUUGAGACUGGAUCUCAGAACCCAAAUAUAAAAAUACAAAAAUGUUUUCCUAAUCCACUGUAACUGAAAAAUACUUCUUAGGAUACAGAAAUAUCAGAUAAUUUGAGGAUUUAAAGAUAGUUUCCCUAAACUGGGUCUGAAAAUGUAUUAUACUCCUCUGUUGAAGAGAGGUGUAACACUGUAGAGCAGGUAACACUUAAGCCAGAAUCAUCCCUGACUCUAGGAAGCAACAUCCAUGAUACAGCUGCACAGGUAAAAUUUUAGGGAUUGGCCAAGUAUUUCUGCCUAAAUCACUGGAACUAUAAAUUGGUGGGGAUGUUCAUGAGAGUGGACCAAAAAAGCCAGAGAAUAAUUGUUGAUAUUGAUGCUAUUUGAGUUUCUACUGGGAACUGACCUAACAGCAAAAUAUUAGAAGAAACCACACAGUCAAAAAUAGCCAUUCCAAACAGAGACCCAAGAGAAUUAGAACUGGAUGAAUUAAUAUAAACAUAUACAUGGCCAGUUAGGCCUGAGGUUGUGAAUAUAAAGAUAAAAUAUGUAAUUUCUGUAGAAAUUAAAAACACAGAAGUGAGUUGCUCGUCAAUGCUCAUUUUCAAACCCCUAUCAUCUAUAGUGAUAUAUUUGGGUUAUGAAGAUCCCAAUUUGUGUAACAAAAAGUUGGCUAACUCAAACUUGGAAUGUCCUUUUUCAUUAUAAAAUUUGAACCUGAUUUAAUCUAACUCAUUUUGAAAUCCCAACAGAUGUAAAGGUAUUUUUGAAGUGAGAUAUCUCCCAAUAAAACCACUAUUACCACUGUCUGAGGCUGAACUGUGUACAUUUUCACAGUUUAAUGUAUACACAACUGUUCCACAACUGCUAACAAACAAUAGGCGCCCAUGCAUAAAUAAUGUCCAUAGAACCAAAGGGGGAAGAUCUAGUUCAAAAUGAAAAAUGUUGCUAUUAAGACCACAAUGCAUCACACUGCUAAAAUUUUUAGCUUCAUGCAUAAAAUUAUAGCACUGAUUGGCAGUUGCUAAUUAUAAUACUACACUGUUAACACAGAACAAUUCAUUGUUUAGACCAAGUAGCACAAAUGUAGAAAAUAAUUUUUUUUCAACAGAGCAAAUGAACACAGAUUGUUUCUUCAGCAAAAUAUGAAACUGUAAACUUUGGGCUCAUUCUGCAACUUUCCCCAAUCCAGAAUAAAUAAAAUCCAAAAGGGGGAAAAAAAGAACAUACGUUUUCUUUUUAAGCGCACCUGUUUGUCUAUUACAAAAGCACAACCUAAAAUGUAUAAAGCUUUUUUUUUCUUUUUUCUUUUUUUAAAUUACAGUUACCAAAAGAAACGGUGAAUAAUUUAUUACAUACGCUAUAAUAACAUUACUCUAAACACUAUUAUCUAUGAGGUAUAUCUGAGAAAAUUCGGUAAGGAAUUGCGCGGUCUGCAUUGCCAACAUGCCCAGGUUCAUAUUAAAGCUUUGGAACCAUGAACUAGAAAAGGGGAAGAAUAGGGAGGCAGAAGAAGGAGACAUAGAGAAAGAACCUUUGGUAUUAGUACAAUUCUUGUUCUUUGCAGGGUUGCAUUGCAAAGCACCACAGUACAAUAAGCCCACCAAUUUACUGUAUGGAGGCCCAGUUGAAGCUGAGGUAUUCACAGGAAGGAUUAAAAAAAGCACAGAGAGGUCCAGACUGGCUAAAUCGUUGCUUUGGUUCAAGCAAGGCACUCGUCCCGUGGUUAUGUCACACUUUGCAAGUGAAGCAUGAGGCUGAGGGGGAUUUGUUGAGGAGGGGUCUGCCAAUUAGGGAUAUUUUCUGUGUUCAGGCUGCCAUUGCUCUUUCUAGUUUCUUCAUAUAGCAGGUCUGUAGUAGGAAGGUGGGGGAGGUGACGUUUGCUUGUUAUGGAGAAGCAGUCUGCUGCUUGAUGAGUUAGGUCAUCUUUGUUGUCUCCCAAGUAUUGUGAGCAUUCGAUUUCUGAUAGGAAUUUGGGGAGAAAACCAAAGCAAUUUGCUGUUUGGAAGGAAGGCCUUACAGGUUUGCUUUGUAUAGGUAAGAGGAUGAAACCUUAGACUUAGUUGACAGGAAGGAACUUUCACAGACGUCAGGAAGGUGGUUGGGAAUUUUAGGAAGAGGGUAAUUGAGUGUUUUUUAUAGUCUGUCAAUCUAUCUUUUAAAUUCCUCUAUUUGCUACACUCCUGAAUGAAACAGAUGAGUUGGUCUUUUCCUUUUUUAGCUUGUCUAAAUGGUCUGUUAAAAAGCUCAAGGGUGUGAAAUACAAAUUUCUAGUAUUCAAUAAGGAGCUAUAUAGAUUAGUGGUGGAUAUUUGCAUGUGUCUAAAACCCACAUGCAAAUUGGGUCAAAAGCUGAAAAGAUUAAUUGGUUAACAUACAAAUCACUUUGAUGAAUGAUCUUAAUAGUGAUUUAAUCAUUUAAUGGAAUCAAAGAAACUUGAAAAAGGCCAAUGAAUUUCAUGAGUAAGAAAAAAGAGAAGCAACUUUAAGUAACCAUUUUUUUUUUUGGUACUGGGAAUCGAACUUGGGACCUUGCGCUUGCAAGGCAGGCGCUGGAACCACUGAGCUAAAUCCGAGCCCUAAGUAACCAUUUUUAAAAAUGGCAUAUCCAUGCAUUUGAAAUCUUGGGCUCAUUCUUCAUUUACAAUGAGUAGCUGUUUAGCAUCAAAAAUGUAAGGCUCUUGAAAAUAUACCUUUGGCUUAGGAAUAAAAUUUAAACAUCUAUAAGUAAAAAAGAAUAAAAGAAAAAGCUGAUCACUGAAAUGCUGUAUGUGCAAACUAUAGUCAUGUUCUCUUUCUUGGUAAAUACUGACCUUAAAAUGUCCAUAAUAAUUAAAUUUAAUGGGCCAAGAAUGAACUCUCUCUUCCUACUGAAUUAAAAGCUUGUUUAUACAACACUUUUAAUGGGGAGGUUCAAAAGUGAUCGCACUGUUUGGAUCAAUAUGCACUUCCCAGGUUAGAAACCUCCAAAUGAGCCCUAAUAUUUCAAGACUGUCGACCUUACUAAGCACUGGAUCAUAUGUACCUCUGUGGAGAUGUAACUGGAUAAGAUACUGAAAGUACCUGUAACUAUCCUUAUAGGAUGAGAAUGUUAGAUAAUAAGCAGCUACAGGAUUGCUACUUUCCUACUUGCCUACUUGACAGCAAUAUGCAGAGCACUGGGGUGGAGCUAGGAGAUUAGUGGCUGUGACUCUGGUGUAAUUUGACUUGGAUAAUGAUUUCAUUUCUCCAGGACAUAGGGGGCUGGACUUAAUGAAUCCUAUAGUCCUUUUCCUACUCUACAAUCCAAUGGUUAGAAUUUCUAUGACCCAGUACUUGUCUCUUUCCUGUGAUAGCUCCACAGGAGGGACAGAGGUCAUGGCUAGAACUGAAGGCCCUCUCCUACCAGUCUUCAUCAAUUUAGGGAUCAUAAUUUAGGGAAUCCAAUUAAAGCAGCAUCUAAACUUGCGUCCUGAUCAUGUGGAGAGAGCAAAUAAAUGAGAGAAACACAGAAAAUAUCCCUUUCCAAAUUAGCAGCCACCAUCACAUAGAUAAUUAUUUCUUUGGGGUAUCUGAGCUGUGGCUGUACAUACCAUAUGUCAGAGAGAAUAGUUAAAUUAUAAAAGAGCACAAGCAAAAUGCAGACCGCACAGAGAAAGAAAUCUUUGGUAUCUUUGGUGUCAUCAACACGAUUAAAAUUACAAAUGGAAAAAGUCAGUGAGGUAGCCUUCUUUGGUUCUCACUAGAAAUAGAAAGUUUUUCCUUUUUUUUCUUUUUUUCUGCUUUUUUUUCCUUUUCUGUUUUGUUGCUUCUGGCACACACAGAGUUCAUUCUUGGAAGCAGCUAGUGUUAAGGGUUUCUCUCUUUUUUGUUUAUGAUUUUUUUAAAAUUUAUUUUUCCACUUUCCAUAUAGAAGCCCCGAAAUCCAGGCUGGUGAAGCAGGGUCUCAGCUUAUGUUUUCUGAAUGCACAGGUUCAGGUUGAGUAGUCAUUGCUUGUCCACAAAAUUUGCUCUGUUGUUCUGACAGCAAACAAACUGCAGUGCUCUCUGUUGUUUUAAAUAAAAAAUAUAAACUAUACAAUGCAUCUUUCACAGAUGCUGAAUAAGUUAAAUAAAUAAGUUACAAUAUGAAGGCUCUGAGGCCCCCAGUAAGAGGUGAAGUUCGCCUGGUACCAGGUGGGGCUGUGAACUUAAAUUAAAUAAUUUAAUAAUCAUUAAACUAUUUUAAAAGUUAAUUCAAUAAGGAAAAAUACCCCAAAUUCUCUCCUUUUGUAACCUGUAUUUCUUCCCUGUCUGUAACAGAAUUUCAGUGCUUAUAAAGCAAACUAAAUUUCAAGAAUAUUCUAAAUAGGAUUUUGCAUCUCUGAUGCACCACUGGUCUAGAUUUUGAUAAAUAAGUACAAGCAGUAAACUCAAACUAAAGAAAAAAUUAUUAAAUAAUUACCCAAAUCCUAUACAUCUGUGUACUAGACACUAAUUUAAAUAAAUUAAUUACAUAAUGAUAUUUUGCUUGGGUCAUAACCCAAAGAGACAAGAUAAAAAAUAUUUUGGGGGAUGUCUUCAGUUUUGAUGAACAAACUGUAUAAUCCCUUUCUACAGUCCAAAUGAAUAUAAAGCAGAAAAGUACAACCUCUAAAACUUUCUCAUGUUGAAGACCAUUUAGAUGUGACAAUCAUGAGAAAAAAUAAUCACCACUCCCCACUAGCUAGUGCUAGUGCUAGUGCUAGUGCCAGAAGACCACACACUCAUUAUCCCAACCUUGGAAGCCAGAGCCUACCUUUUCCCACUGGUUUGCGCUUAUUUUGCUAUUUUUUUCUGUCUUUUUCUUUUUUCACUUUUUUUCUGUUUUUCUUUUCUUUUUUCUUUUUUUGCCCUUUUCCAGAUCUUUGGAUUUAGCUUUAGUUAUGAGAAAUCCAGAAUAAAGCUAUUUAACCGAAGUCAUCAUCAUUCUAACUUAGAUGAUUAGAUAAUAUCCAAGGUUCCUUUAUAAAUUGAGUUUAUCUUGGAUGUGCCCAAAUGAAAGUAAUUUCAAAUGUACACAAAGAAGAUGCUGGGAUACUUUUUUUAUAUUCCUGCACUUUGGUUUUCAAUGUUACAAUAAAUAAUAAUGGAAACAUUGUACAUUGUGAAAGUACCACAUACAUGUUGUAAGAUGAUUUAAAAUUUAUUUAUUGUAACAGAUUACAAUAUAUAUGUAUUAAGUAUGUCUGUACACACUUGCAUGUACACAGUCUAGAUACCUAUAGGUAAUGUGUAGAUGUAAGACAACUACGAAAAUACAUGUCAAAAUAUGUCUCUAAAUCUGUAUACAUCCAAGCUGACAGACAGUAUAAGCUUUAGGCAAACUUCUCGACCAAGAUUUAUGCUAUGUGAAAUGCCUGUCACUAAAAAUGGAGCCAAGUGAAAGACUUCUGGGGAAUGAACAAGGCUGAAGCACUGUUUUUUCUUACACACAUAUUCUCCACUAAAAAUAUAUUAGCUGGUUAAUUUCAAUCAACCUAACUCAAAACCUACAAGGGAAGGGUUGGGCUGUAGCUUUCACUUGCCUCAGGCUGUCAGAAUCAUUUUGAUAUCAGAGGACAAUGAGCAUUUAGAAUCCCGUAAGGUUCAUACCAGAGCCCACCAGCCUCAAUUAAAAAUUUUGCAUCUAUCUGAGGUCCUAUAUUAAUUUGAUAAUGAUUUUGGUAUUUCAGAAAUAUUUUAGGGCUUUCUAAAACAAACAUUUUCCCUCCACCAUGACCACCUUGAAAAGAAACAAGUCAUUGGUAGACAGUAGGCACUGGAACAUCCAUAUUUAAAGCCAACAACAUCUUGUGAAAUUUAUACAACCAACAGGGGUACUGUUCUGCUUUAGUAAGGAUUUUCGUGGCCUUAUUUUAAAGCUGGAAUCGCCUAUUGUUUCAGAGGUGACUUGGUCUUAACUAAAGGUAUAAAAUUAUUAAGCUAUCCAGUUUUGCCCAUAAGCAUCAGAAAGUUAUAGUUUGCCAGCUCUAUCCUGUUUUCCUCUACCACUUCCCACUCACUUUCCUGGUCAGGCUGACAAACGAAUCAGAGCAUCAGCAACAAGAGCAGAAGUCAGCUCUGGUCUGUUAUGAAUCCAGAGGGUUACUGUCAAAGCACUUGUGUUUGGGCCCCGUGGUCAACCUUAACCACAGGUAGCAUCUCUUUUUCUCCAGCGUUUAAAGAGCCCAUUAGUUGUACAACCUCCUGAAGACCAAAGAGAUGCAAGUUCACUGCAGAGGCAAAUUGUCAUGACACUUUAACAAUGACAGUCAAACGGAUACUCCUGUAAUCCUACCAACAUUUUCAAAAGUGGGUAUCUCCCUCUACCCAAGUAGUUGAAUUUUAAAAGUCUGCUCAAUUUUAAUUUAUUGACAUUAAAAGGUGGAUGCCCAGUAUAGACAAGGUAAAAUGGUUGAUUAUUUUAAAAGUAUUUACUUUUGGCUUUGGAAUAUAUUGCUUGAUUUAGAGUCUAUGGCCAUCUCACCCUGAACACACCUGGUCUCAUCUGAUUAAGAAAAAUGCGUAUCUACCACAUUUGCCUUCAUAAUUUAAUUUUAUUUUAGACUGAAAUGAACAUGAGCUUGGAUUCUCUGAGCCCGUAACUGCCAAGAGCCUAUAAGAGAAGAGUUGCUGUACAGGCAACUUUGUGAUUUUUCCAGAGAAAAAGAUCACGCUGGGUCCUUCUUGGCUCAGGGUAGCCUGUUCCUUUGGUACAACCAAAAUAGUCUUACAUUUUGGAGUAAGCAUUUAAAUGUUGAUGUUGAGUGUUAUUAUUGUUGCCAUUUUCCUUUUAAAAAUGUAUUGGUUCUGAUUUUCUUAAUUUCUUAGAAUGAAAAAAUUGUAUCCCUGGUACCAAAAUCACAUUAAGAACAAAAAUAAAGCCUAAUUACAUAAAGAAAAAUAUCUUUCUACUCAAUAGCUAUGAGCAUUAGGACUUCUGUUGCCUCAAAGGAGUUGAAUUUGCCUAAGAUCUGUUCCUUCUCGCCAUCUCUUUUGUUGCUGAUGGCUGAGGUAUACCUACAAUUUCUCUUGGAUUGAGGAAAUGGAUUCUAAACUAUAACCAACUCCAACUGGUUAUUUUUUCUGAAAUUAACAACUUAUAACAAAUUUUUUAAAUCCUUCAAGAAACUCACUGUGUUAAAUUCUAUAACCUUUCAAUAUAGCAUUUUUUUUUUCAGAUUUCUAACAAGAUGAAAUUCUGCAGGGCCUAAAAUUUGGACACAUAAACACGAGCACACAUGUAUUUAUAUGUGUAUGGAAAUAAUUUUCAAAAAUGCAAGUACUUCUUUCUAGUAUGAGAUUAUCUGGUAUGAGAUAUUUACCAAGAGUAUUUGGAGGGGAAAUUCUUGCCUUUUAUUUUUUAAUAAUGACAUCUUCCUUUGAUCACUAGACCACUGGUUUGACCAGUGUUGAAAUGUCAGGCCACAAAGGCAGCUCUUUUGGCCUAUACUUCUUCAGGGGAUGCCAGACCCAGAUGCUAAUAUUAGUGUGUCAAAGAAUCACUAACCAAAUCAACAGGCUUGGCUCCUCGACCUGUUCUCAAGAAGAACAACCAUUUUCCAUUGGCCACAAGUCACAGGGAUUCAUUUAGAAAUACCCAACUUAAAAUUCAUCUCUAUCUAUCUAUGUGCGAACCACCCUCUGCUGAAAUAUGCUCUUUUCUUGACCCUUUGACAAACUAUUCGUGGAGUAUGAGCAAGGGACAAAGGAACACAAGGGAAAAGUCAAGAAAUGAUCCCCAGGCAGGAUAAAUCACAAAAACCAUGGAGGACCAUUUUCUCUCAUAGUAUCAUGGCUGCUGCCCCUGCAAAGGGCAACCUGAAUGGUAAGGGUGAGGAGGUGGCACAGUGUGUGAUGGGGCAGUCCAGGGGCAGAACUCCAGAACUCUUCCCCAAACCUGCUCUGUUUUCUCUCCAAGAGUGAAAGCUCCCCCUAACACAACUACCCUACCCCAGUGCCAGCUGUGGUUACACACGGGCUUGUCAAUGCAAAUUGAUAAUUACUACCCCGAGGAAACCUGAUCAGCCCACUGCAACAGGAAAUGGAUGUUGCCAUGAGAAGUCUCUGGUGAAUCUGCUCAUUAAGGGAUCUGGAACACCCUGAUGGAGACAGCAUCUCCUGGAGAAUGAAUGGAUUUCUGGGCUGGCGUCAUGUCACACAGCUGGUGGGAAUGCACCACUGAGCCUUCCUAGCAGUUACAGAAGACAAGCCUCCACUGUCAGCAGCCCAGCUCUGUAUGGUGGAUGUACCCUACUCACCAUCUUAAUCAUGGUGCAGGCAUAGAAUAGAGAUGGCUCUAAGUAUAAAUAAAAUUCAUUUAUACCAUGAAUCCUCUUAUCAACAGUUUAAAUGUUGAAAUGCUUAAACUUCACUUUUUGACCUUGACCAGAAAUUUUCAUAGAAAUCAGAAUACACCAAAUCAUCCACAGUGGCAAAUUAACCCUGGGAUGGCAUGAGAAACGAGCAAAAGUCUGAACUGAAUAUCCAGUGCUUGAAGCAUGUGACAAAAACAAGACAUGAAUUUGGACAGCAAAAAUUUUGGGUUAUCACCAAUGUCUAGUUGAUCUAUAUAUGUAUUCAUAUAUUAUAUAUAUCUUUCUUUAGAAAUGCAACUUUACAGCUGAUUUUUAAAAAGCUAAUAGAAAAGUAGAAACUGGCAAUUAUUUUUACAUGUUUCCCCCACCCCCAAAUGAAGCCCUAUUAAGAUGUAGCAAUUACAUGAAGAUCAGGCUGUAAAUCCUCUAUAAAUUCUUUGGUUCUGUGGCUCAGGAGCGGAUGUGUCACCAAGACCCCUACCCCUGAUCCUUACUCCCUUUUCCUCCCCUGAUGAUGAGACUCUGAACAUAGAAAGAACCAAGUCUAAGAGUUAAGAAAAGAACAUUCAAGUGACAAUACCGUUCCCCACACUCUGUUGCGCAGAGAGAGGAGAAUCAUUCAGUAUCCCUACAUCUUAAACUUGGAGUCCAUGGAAGCUUUUGCGAGAUUCCAUGUUGGGGUAAAAAGCCAUCAAACCAAAUUAAAAGGAAACAAUAAAAUCAAAUAAAUGGCCCUUUCCUUUUGUUGCUCAGAGAAACAAAAUUGGUUACCUUUGUACAGAUCAAUGGCGCUAUUAGUAUUUUAGCCAGGCAAAAGAAGAUAAUGAACUGAAACAAAAGGUGUGAGAAAUCCUCAUCUUUGGUAUUGUAGCUGUUGAGGUUUCUGUUGCUCUGUUCCGUGUUCUUUUGAAAAACUGCAUAGGCACAAAUUAAAGACAAUCUUCAACUUUAAGAUUACCAUGUGAGUUGUCAAAUGAAGCAGCAGCCAUUCAGGCUCUUCCUUACUUCAAUUCUUGUCUCAACCCUUUCUUUCAAAUCUGCUUCCAAAAAAUGUCCCAAGAGGUCUGUUUGAACACAGUGUGUCGCGCUGAUUUUUGUUUUUUGUGGGUUUUCUUUUUUCUGGCGUGCUUCCUUCUUGUUGAUGGUGAUUUCCAUUGAUUUACGGAUUUGUUUAUUCAUUUAAUGGGACAGUUCUGUUUGUUGCAGAAGUAGGUGCAGAAAAAGUUUCUUUGGUUUCGAUUAAGUAAUUCAUAAAAAAGUCAGUCUUAAGUGUCUGUAAAGAAUCAUUGCAGCGUUUGGCUUGCUCUGAACACCCCCAUGGUGCCCACCUAGGGCCAUUCACUGGUAAAUAUGCACAUAUGACCUUUGCAAUCUCCCAGAGUUCUGUGGGCGCUCUUCUGCUUUCUGUGGGAAGAUGGCAGCCAGGACCCAGAACUGGCGUGAUAAAGCCACUACCUGGUGGCUUGGCUAACGUUCUUGGCAUAGCUGGUCCGCUCAGCCUGAUGGUGCGCCAAAUGCAAGAGCUGAAUGCCAUUUGGAGUUGCAGAGGUUUUCUGAUUUCUAAAAGUAAUCACAGUAUUUUUAGGCUAGAAAAUGGCAAGUCAUAAAUGUCUUUGGUUUGCAGUAUCCUGCUUCUUUGGUGUGCUGUGUUUUCUCCAGAUUUAUUCAGUUGUUUUGCAAGGAUGAGUCAACAAUGGAAGAGAGUUAGGACUAGAUGACAGUCAUGAGCAACAUGUAUAGUUUGAUUUAUUAUUGUUUCUAGAAAACACUGGAAAUAUCCCUACUAAUGGGAUGGAUGAGGUAACAACACAAAUCAGAAAGAAUGAGAAUGAAUUAGGUGGUGGUCAUAAUGCACAACAGGAGGAACCAGAUGACUGAUAACCCAAGAAGGACACAUUAAUGAUCUUAAAAAAAAAAUCUAGAUCUUUUAAAAUGGCACAUUUGCUCCAUGUACCAUAACAGUUAAAUUGGCCUCCUGAGUGUGCGUCUGCAUUACGUACAAACAAAAUUUGUAGCAAACUGCAAAAUGUGCUUGAAGCCAUACUCUCAACGAUUCCCUAAUGACUUCAUUAACAGGUGUCUUGAAAAUCCCGAGAAAAUGAAUCCAGAACCUUCCUUACUUCUGUUUAUCUUUGUUGUGCUUGAUACUUUGAGCUCAAGUGAACUGAUUCAUUGGUUUUUUUUUUGAUGGAUCCAAGACCAUAUGAGAUUUUCAGGAGGUAAAGAAAAGACUGUAAACUGGAUCAACUUAAAGCUUUCUAACUCAUUCAAUGAGAAGAUGCCUGAGUUGAAAAAAUAGGUCCUUGGAGUUUUUUUUUUUUUAAACUUCCAUAUUUAAAACUUGUGCUCAAUAAUUACUGUUCUGAAAUUUUAAAUGGUAUGGCUGUGAACUUUGGUGUACUGUGAUAUAAUGAGGCUAAGCACUUGGAAAGCAAAUGAGGUCAUUCUUGUUGCUAGAUUCUUCUCCUAUUGCAGUGUCUUGGAAGCCUAAACUUGGAGUCCUUAAAUGGACCAAAUUAUCACUGUUAGCUGUGGGAACUCUGACUGCAAGAGGCUGACAGGACCUGAAGUGGUUCUGUUGACAUUUUCAGCAAUCCUGAGCUUGGUUGGCAUCAGACUGGAAUUAACUGGCUCCAGGAAGGCCCCAUUUGGGUUUCUGGGUUGCUUAGCAUACUCAGAAGACAGUGUCUGGUUCAAAGAGAUUACUUUUCAGCUUGCACUUGGACUCCGUAGCCAUUAAAAACAAAAAAAGAACACCUGGCCUAUGAUUACAGCUAGAAUAGAAGUUUAUUUUCAAGAGAAUUGUGCUUUCAAAUCACCAGUGAAGGGCCCCAGCUAAGAAUCUGGUGUCUUUUUCCUUAGUGUUUUCUUUUGAUAUCUGUUGUCCUCAUUUGGAGGUGACUUGUGCCCAGGUGAGAGUCCUUCCAUCAUGCUUUGGUACAAGUGCUGGAGGUCGCCGAGGAGCCCCCUGUGCUCAGGUCAUCUUGCCACUUCUCCAGGCUGCGGCGCCGGGCAUUCAUGAAGAAGUUGCUGACGGUGGUGAGCUCUAGGCCCAGCUGCUGCGAAAUGGUGAUCUGCAUCUCCUUCGAUGGCCGCUUGUUCUCCUUGAAGAUGGCAAAGAGUGUUCGGCGUUGGAGGUCGGUGAACACCAGCCGGGAUUUCUUCUGGGAAUUGUUCCUGUCUUUGUUUGGUUCUUGCUCUUUACGUUUGCACGCU
This 14926-nucleotide long non-coding RNA is filed under the name Heterocephalus glaber (naked mole-rat). Its description in RNAcentral is "lncRNA (ENSHGLG00000034259.1)". Lineage: Eukaryota; Metazoa; Chordata; Mammalia; Rodentia; Bathyergidae. The record is from RNAcentral.